UUGGGCUAUAGCUCAGUUGGUAGAGUGCUUGCCUUGCAUGCACAAGGCCCUGGGUUCGAGCCCCAGCACCAAA
RNAcentral lists this transfer RNA (73 nucleotides) under Marmota monax (woodchuck). RNAcentral's name for it is "tRNA.Ala". It matches the Rfam family "tRNA". Rfam says of the family: Transfer RNA (tRNA) molecules are approximately 80 nucleotides in length. Their secondary structure includes four short double-helical elements and three loops (D, anti-codon, and T loops). Further hydrogen bonds mediate the characteristic L-shaped molecular structure. tRNAs have two regions of fundamental functional importance: the anti-codon, which is responsible for specific mRNA codon recognition, and the 3' end, to which the tRNAs corresponding amino acid is attached (by aminoacyl-tRNA synthetases). tRNAs cope with the degeneracy of the genetic code in two manners: having more than one tRNA (with a specific anti-codon) for a particular amino acid; and 'wobble' base-pairing, i.e. permitting non-standard base-pairing at the 3rd anti-codon position. Lineage: Eukaryota; Metazoa; Chordata; Mammalia; Rodentia; Sciuridae. The record is from RNAcentral.